UGGAUCCAGACUUUGAUCCUGGCUCAGGACGAACGCUGGCGGCGUGCCUAAUACAUGCAAGUAGAACGCUGAAGGGAGAAGCUUGCUUCUUCUGGAUGAGUUGCGAACGGGUGAGUAACGCGUAGGUAACCUGCCUGAUAGCGGGGGAUAACUAUUGGAAACGAUAGCUAAUACCGCAUAAGAGGUAAUAACACAUGUUAUUAGUUUAAAAGGGGCAAUUGCUCCACUAUCAGAUGGACCUGCGUUGUAUUAGCUAGUUGGUAAGGUAACGGCUUACCAAGGCGACGAUACAUAGCCGACCUGAGAGGGUGAUCGGCCACACUGGGACUGAGACACGGCCCAGACUCCUACGGGAGGCAGCAGUAGGGAAUCUUCGGCAAUGGGGGCAACCCUGACCGAGCAACGCCGCGUGAGUGAAGAAGGUUUUCGGAUCGUAAAGCUCUGUUGUAAGAGAAGAACGGAUGUGGGAGUGGAAAAUCCAUGUCGUGACGGUAUCUUACCAGAAAGGGACGGCUAACUACGUGCCAGCAGCCGCGGUAAUACGUAGGUCCCGAGCGUUGUCCGGAUUUAUUGGGCGUAAAGCGAGCGCAGGCGGUUUCAUAAGUCUGAAGUUAAAGGCAGUGGCUUAACCAUUGUACGCUUUGGAAACUGUGAGACUUGAGUGCAGAAGGGGAGAGUGGAAUUCCAUGUGUAGCGGUGAAAUGCGUAGAUAUAUGGAGGAACACCGGUGGCGAAAGCGGCUCUCUGGUCUGUAACUGACGCUGAGGCUCGAAAGCGUGGGGAGCAAACAGGAUUAGAUACCCUGGUAGUCCACGCCGUAAACGAUGAGUGCUAGGUGUUGGGUCCUUUCCGGGACUCAGUGCCGCAGCUAACGCAUUAAGCACUCCGCCUGGGGAGUACGACCGCAAGGUUGCAACUCAAAGGAAUUGACGGA
This 934-nucleotide ribosomal RNA is filed under the name uncultured Bacillota bacterium. Its description in RNAcentral is "bacterial SSU rRNA". It matches the Rfam family "Bacterial small subunit ribosomal RNA", at positions 1 to 917 of the family's 1533-position model. Lineage: Bacteria; Bacillati; Bacillota. The record is from RNAcentral.